Molecule: ribosomal RNA, 486 nt
Filed under: uncultured bacterium
Lineage: Bacteria
Description: partial 16S ribosomal RNA
Rfam family: Bacterial small subunit ribosomal RNA
Source: RNAcentral
GUUGAACGCUGGCGGCAUGCCUUACACAUGCAAGUCGAACGGCAGCACGGGUUCUUGCACCUGGUGGCGAGUGGCGAACGGGUGAGUAAGACAUCGGAACAUGUCCUGUAGUGGGGGAUAGCCCGGCGAAAGCCGGAUUAAUACCGCAGACGAGCUACGGAUGAAAGCGGGGGACCUUCGGGCCUCGCGCUAUAGGGUUGGCCGAUGGCUGAUUAGCUAGUUGGUGGGGUAAAGGCCUACCAAGGCGACGAUCAGUAGCUGGUCUGAGAGGACGACCAGCCACACUGCGACUGAGACACGGCCCAGACUCCUACGGGAGGCAGCAGUGGGGAAUUUUGGACAAUGGGCGAAGGCCUGAUCCAGCAAUGCCGCGUGUGUGAAGAAGGCCUUCGGGUUGUAAAGCACUUUUGUCCGGAAAGAAAUCCUUGGUCCUAAUACGGUCGGGGGAUGACGGUACCGGAAGAAUAAGCACCGGCUAACUACGUG